Molecule: long non-coding RNA, 1378 nt
Organism: Aegilops tauschii subsp. strangulata
Lineage: Eukaryota; Viridiplantae; Streptophyta; Magnoliopsida; Poales; Poaceae
Source: RefSeq, a predicted model, not a curated record
CUCCCCGCGAGCCGUCCGAUCGGGUUUGAUCGUGCGGCGCUGGAUUCUCUCACGUGCCCGCCUGGAUACUCUCGCUGGCAACACGGGCUUGUUCCAAUCGCGUGGUGUCUCGCGGAUAGCGAAGCAGAGGACUCAGAUCCGGGCGCCACCCAGGCAGCAGCUGACGCGAGAGGCGACGUGACGGCAUCCGGAGCGGCGAAGCGACGGCGACGGGAAGUGGAGGCGCGCACGGCGACAACUGACAGCAUCGACGACGACGCUCCGCCGCACAGAGCCUCAACGAUGGAUGAUGAAGACUCUACUGAUGGAUUAUUCUCAAAACAGUUUUCAACAAGACGCAUACACGUACAAUUGCUGAGAAAAGUCUGAAUAAGGAUAUGAUGGCAGUCUUAAGUGAUUAUUGCUAGGUAGUGGCUAGGCUGCUGCUACCCCGCAUGAGCUGCUCCAUGGGGCAGACAACGACCACUAGUGACGCCCUUGUGUUCCAAGUUCCAACAGCCCCCAGGUGCCGACGAGCGUGCCGAAUCAAGCUGCCGCAAACCCAGCAUUGACGCCCUCUGCAUCGCAACUCCGGCGGUCGCUGCAUCGCAGCUCCGGCGGCCUCGUGGCCGCUGCACUGCAGGUCCGGCGGCGUCGACGACAGCUGCAUCGCAGCUCCGACGGCCGUUGCAUCGUAGCUCCGGCAGCGUCGUGGCCUCUGCACUGCAGGUCAGACGGCGUUGACGGCCGCUGCAUCGCAGCUCAGCAGUGCAGCUCCGACGGCCGCUGCAUCGCAGCUCCGGCGACGUCAUGGCCGCUGCAUUGCAGUUCCGACGGCGUCGACGGCUGCUGCAUCGCAGCUCCGGUGCCCGCUGCAUCACAGCUCCGGCGGCGUCGAUGGCCGCUGCAUCGCAGCUCCGGCGGCGUCGACGCUCGUUGUAUCACAACUCCGACAGCCGUUGCAUCGCAGCUCCGGUGGUGUCCCAGCCGCUACUGCCUAGCUGGAAGAUGUGCUUGGAGCGCUACCAUGGGCGAUGCAUGAUGGUGCCUGACUCUUGUGUUGCGCGAGAGGGAAAAUGCUGACUGGAAGUGCAAUCCGUGAGACACCAAGCGAACGGUUAUGAUGUGUAUGAUCGGACGAUUAGCAAGGCGGCUGAUAAGUUGUUGUUAUCAUCCGGCUUACGCCUAGCAUCUGCCAAUUCCAAAUGCCUCCAAAGCCUGGUAUCAAGCUAGAGAUUAUCAGCUAGAGGAACAAGCAGUGACCCAACAUUUCACCACCCCAUUCUGUUGGUUUUGCUGAUUAUUCUCACUACUCUCGUUCUUUGAUCUCUUUGAUCGGUAUCCUCUCUUAGUCGAUGUGUCCCUUUUAUAGAAGAAGUGGCCCAAAAUCGUUACUAUC